UGGGGGAUAUUGCACAAUGGGCGAAAGCCUGAUGCAGCGACGCCGCGUGGGGGAUGAAGGCCUUCGGGUUGUAAACUUCUUUUGCUCUGAACAAGGCGCACCAUGGGGUGUGUUGAGUGUAGGGGUUGAUUAGCGCCGGCUAACUACGUGCCAGCAGCCGCGGUAAUACGUAGGGCGCGAGCGUUGUCCGGAAUUAUUGGGCGUAAAGGGCUUGUAGGUGGCUGGUUGCGUCUGUCGUGAAAGCUCAUGGCUUAACUGUGGGUUUGCGGUGGGUACGGGCUGGCUUGAGUGCAGUAGGGGAGGCUGGAAUUCCUGGUGUAGCGGUGGAAUGCGCAGAUAUCAGGGGGAAUACCGGUGGGGAAGGCGGGUCUCUGUGCUGUUACUGACACUGAGGAGCGAAAGCAUGGGGAGCGAACAGG
This 419-nucleotide ribosomal RNA is filed under the name bacterium. Its description in RNAcentral is "partial 16S ribosomal RNA". It matches the Rfam family "Bacterial small subunit ribosomal RNA", at positions 355 to 776 of the family's 1533-position model. The record is from RNAcentral.